RNAcentral lists this transfer RNA (72 nucleotides) under Camelus bactrianus (Bactrian camel). It matches the Rfam family "tRNA". Rfam says of the family: Transfer RNA (tRNA) molecules are approximately 80 nucleotides in length. Their secondary structure includes four short double-helical elements and three loops (D, anti-codon, and T loops). Further hydrogen bonds mediate the characteristic L-shaped molecular structure. tRNAs have two regions of fundamental functional importance: the anti-codon, which is responsible for specific mRNA codon recognition, and the 3' end, to which the tRNAs corresponding amino acid is attached (by aminoacyl-tRNA synthetases). tRNAs cope with the degeneracy of the genetic code in two manners: having more than one tRNA (with a specific anti-codon) for a particular amino acid; and 'wobble' base-pairing, i.e. permitting non-standard base-pairing at the 3rd anti-codon position. The record is from Rfam by way of RNAcentral. Lineage: Eukaryota; Metazoa; Chordata; Mammalia; Artiodactyla; Camelidae. RNAcentral also lists the same sequence under 1 other name.
GAGGGUGUAGCUCAGUGGUAGAGUUCAUGCCUAGUGGGCACAGGGUCCUGGGUUCAACCCCCACUACCUCCA